UCAGCUGAUAUUUAAUCCAGGUCUGGUCAGUUGAUAUUUGAUCCAGGUCUGGUCAGUAGUCAGCUGAUAUUUGAUCCAGGUCUGGUCAGUAGUCAGCUGAUAUUUAAUCCAGGUCUGGUCAGUAGUCAGCUGAUAUUUGAUCCAGUUCUGGUCAGUAGUCAGUUGAUAUUUGAUCCAGGUCUGGUCAGUAGUCAGUUGAUAUUUAAUCCAGGUAUGGUCAGUUGAUAUUUAAUCCAGGUCUGGUCAGUGGUCGGUCAGUAAUGUAACAGUGAAGACAUAUCUAACAGUAAAAGUCUUGGACAGGACAGGAGGAGUGUGUUGUUUGGAAAAAGGACUUCCCAGAACGUCUGUGAUUGUUUUUGUCUCGGAGAACAGAGUGGAGAGACGGAGAGAGUGUACACAUGUGUUUGGUCAUUUCUCCUCUUCGUUUUGUUCUACUUCCUGUAUCACACGGGAACAGCCAAUCAGUUCAUGCGUUGCAGUAACGAUGAUGACUAGUGAAUAGUCUAGAAUCUUCCUCUGUGUUUGGGCUGGUGGUGAUGACGACGCCCAGGAGAGAUGCAGCCCAACCGGAAUACAUGUUAGUGUGAGACUGAGCGUUGUCACGACAACAACCUCCACUGUGUUCCUGUGGAUUUACACAUCACGGUAUUAAUGCUUAGACUGGACGCAUGGUUUCAUGGGGAAUCCAUUACCUACGAAGCUAUGACAAAGUGUGUGUCUCACACUCACACGCACACACACACACACACACACACACACACACACACUUUGACACCACUACCCUUUUGACACACAUCCCUCAGCAAAUUCAGGUCCUUUAGUUUUAGUGUUUUGUGAGUUUUAUUGCUGAAAAAAAUGCAACUGUUAUUGUCGUGUUAUUUCCACAUCACUGAUAUACACCCAGCCCAAAGAAUGUAACGGAGAAAGAGACUUAAUGUAUGUAUCUUGUUUGACUGUGUCCCAAAUGACACCCUAUUUCCUAUAUAGUGCGCUACGUUUUAUCCAGAGCUGGUCUAAAGUAGUGCACUAUGUGUAUGAAACAGGGUGGGACGUAGCCAUUCUGCUGUAGAAGAGAAACAGGCUUGUGUAAUGAAGUGGUUCAAUCAUGUUCCAUUCAAUGGUAUGAGAAUCGAGUUCUGAAAUUCUAUGUUCUGAUUCUAUGAUUCCGUUGUUCCGAUGUUACUGUAACAAGCAGCUCAGAAACCUUACUUACCAGGUAACUCCACUUACCAGGUAACUCCAACCAGGUAACUCCACUUACCAGGUAACUCCACUUACCAGGUAACUCCAACUAGUUUAAUGUACACUUACCAGGUAACUCCACUUACCAGGUAACUCCACUUACCAGGUAACCCCAACUAGUUUAAUGUACACUUACCAGGUAACUCCAACUAGUUUAAUGUACACUUACCAGGUAACUCCACUUACCAGGUAACCCCAACUAGUUUAAUGUACACUUACCAGGUAACCCCAACUAGUUUAAUGUACACUUACCAGGUAACUCCAACUAGUUUACUCUACACUUACCAGGUAACCCCAACUAGUUUUAAUGUACACUUACCAGGUAACCCCAACUAGUUUAAUGUACACUUACCAGGUAACCCCAACUAGUUUAAUGUACACUUACCAGGUAACUCCAACUAGUUUACUCUACACUUACCAGGUAACCCCAACUAGUUUUAAUGUACACUUACCAGGUAAUCCCAACUAGUUUAAUGUACACUUACCAGGUAAUCCCAACUAGUAUACUGUACACUUACCAGGUAACCCCAACUAGUUUUAAUGUACACUUACCAGGUAACCCCAACUAGUUUUAAUGUACACUUACCAGGUAACCCCAACUAGUAUACUCUUCACUUACCAGGUAACCCCAACUAGUUUUAAUGUACACUUACCAGGUAAUCCCAACUAGAUUACUCUACACUUACCAGGUAACUCCAACUAGUUUUAAUGUACACUUACCAGGUAAUCCCAACUAGUUUUCUCUACCCUUACCAGGUAAUCCCAACUAGUAUACUGUACACUUACCAGGUAACUCCAACUAGUUUUAAUGGGGCUCUGCUGGCAUUUCCUCUUCUCUGUCACCAGGUGUCUCCUCCCAACAUAGUGUUUCCUGUAUUCUAAACCCUUCUCCUCCUGCUCUCCCAAAGCAACAUGGAAACAGUAUUCUAAACCCUUCUCCUCCUGCUCUCCCUCGGUCAAUAUGAAAAUAAAACCCAAUUUACAAAUGUA
Molecule: long non-coding RNA, 2235 nt
Organism: Oncorhynchus tshawytscha (Chinook salmon)
Lineage: Eukaryota; Metazoa; Chordata; Actinopteri; Salmoniformes; Salmonidae
Exons: 2
Source: RefSeq, a predicted model, not a curated record